RNAcentral lists this ribosomal RNA (239 nucleotides) under uncultured bacterium. Its description in RNAcentral is "partial 16S ribosomal RNA". It matches the Rfam family "Bacterial small subunit ribosomal RNA", at positions 117 to 353 of the family's 1533-position model. The record is from RNAcentral.
CUGGGAAACUAGCCUGAUGGAGGGGGGUAACGUACUGGAAACGGUAGCUAAUACCGCAUAACGUCGCAAGACCAAAGAGGGGGACCGUUCGGGCCUCUUGCCAUCGGAUGUGCCCAGAUGGGAUUAGCUAGUAGGUGGGGUAACGGGCUCACCUAGGCGACGAUCCCUAGCUGGUCUGAGAGGAUGACCAGCCACACUGGAACUGAGACACGGCCCAGACUCCUACGGGAGGCAGCAUG